GGGGAAUGUUGGACAAUGGACGCAAGUCUGAUCCAGCAAUGCCGCGUGCAGGACGAAGGCCUUCGGGUUGUAAACUGCUUUUGUACAGAACGAAAAAGUCUUUAAUAACACUAGAGGCUCAUGACGGUACUGUAAGAAUAAGCACCGGCUAACUACGUGCCAGCAGCCGCGGUAAUACGUAGGGUGCAAGCGUUAAUCGGAAUUACUGGGCGUAAAGCGUGCGCAGGCGGUUAUAUAAGACAGAUGUGAAAUCCCCGGGCUCAACCUGGGACCUGCAUUUGUGACUGUAUAGCUAGAGUACGGUAGAGGGGGAUGGAAUUCCGCGUGUAGCAGUGAAAUGCGUAGAUAUGCGGAGGAACACCGAUGGCGAAGGCAAUCCCCUGGACCUGUACUGACGCUCAUGCACGAAAGCGUGGGGAGCAAAC
This 425-nucleotide ribosomal RNA is filed under the name uncultured bacterium. RNAcentral's name for it is "bacterial SSU rRNA". It matches the Rfam family "Bacterial small subunit ribosomal RNA", at positions 356 to 773 of the family's 1533-position model. The record is from RNAcentral.